This is a long non-coding RNA of Motacilla alba alba, 1416 nucleotides long. RefSeq lists it as uncharacterized. The transcript is spliced from 4 exons. The record is from RefSeq and is a predicted model, not a curated record. Lineage: Eukaryota; Metazoa; Chordata; Aves; Passeriformes; Motacillidae.
AGUAAAGGCUUGUUCAUCAAAGUAAUGCAUUUCCUAGGAAAUGAAGAUUUCCAUGGGAAUAAUUAAAUUUUCCUGCGAUGUUUUUAUUUUCCUGGGGGUGGGCAGGUGGAAGAGCAAGGGGGAAGGAGUCAGGGUUUGGUGCCCUCUUAAAACACUAAGGAAACCUAGUGGGAGAAAAACUUAGGAAACAUUUGAACAAAUUUUUAUUUUAAGUUAAAUUCUAGGAGAAGAAUUGAGAGGCCUAUAGACUUUCCCUGGAAAAAUGAGACAUUUGGGAAUAAAAGGAACUUUGGAACUGCAAGGAGAGAGAGGAAUAAAAGUAAAAUAUGGAAGUAAGAAAUAAAUUUCUCAUGUUUCUAUAGUGUGGUUUUCAACCUUUUAGUAUAUUCUCCAAAAAAUAUUUGUGUUAGUGUCUGGUAUUCCUAUAGCACCAUUUCAGGAGAGGUGUGACUUCCAGAAGUGUGAGGAGCAGAAAAAGAAACCAUCUGUUACAUGGGAGAUGAGCUGCCCAACAGAACUGGAGGGAGAAAUUGUCUGGAAUGAGUCACCAGCUUGUUGUUUUCUGUGGGUGAAAUUCCAAGCCCUCUAUCUCAUGUUAUAAACAGCAUUUUUUCUUCUCUCAUUCUUUGCCUGUUCAUGUGGUUUUUGCUCCAACUUUAAUUAAUUUUAAAAUGUUCACAUGUGUGUUUUGCCAGCGAGAACUGGGCUUUUCCCUCUGAACAGAAGAUGACUUUGGCAGCCCUGAGAAUUCAAAGGCUAACCAAGAGUUCACUUUGGUCAGGAAUAAGGCACUCCCAGUUGGACAACUUCCCUGAAUAAAUCUGCAGUGUGGCCUGUGAUUUCUGCUCUGGAAACCAAAUAUCUCUUUCCCGUGGCAUCAGAUUACAGGAGAGCUGAACAUCUUGGAGACAGGUGUUGUGCAGUCAUUUUAGUAUAAAUUAUUUAAUAACAGCCUCGAGUCCCGCUUAUAGUAACUGAUGACUUGCAGAGACAAGCACCUGCAUUGGAAACCGAAGCACAGGUUUUGGAGGCUGAAUUAAAUAGACACAAAAAAGAGAGCACUGUGCUUCAUUCAAAUGGCAUCUAUACAAACCACAGAAUGGUUUGCAGGAACCUUCCAAGAAUAUUUCUGCACCAAAGCCUCUGCAAUAACUGCACCUUACAUAGCUCCAAGUGAGUUGAGAUGUAUCAAUCAAAGGGCAACUGAAAUGAUGAAGUGCCUUACUAGCUGUCUGCUAUAAAAUGCUCCUCUGCGUUUGCACAAAUUAGGAUCUAAACACGCGCAAAAGAAGCAGAUUUGGUAUGUUAAGCUCUACGUGCUUCCAACAACAUGAUCAGCUAAAACACAGAGAAUUUUGUGUUCACUCUCCUGAAAAAAUCUGUGGAAAAUGGAAUUCUGUAAUACCUGUUGUCUUA